GGGAGCUCUGCGCUUCCACCCACCCUCCUUCCCUCCCGGUUCCCGGGACACUUUUUUUUUUUUUUUUUUUUUUGGCAAGCUCGGCUUAGAGAGGCCACUUGCCCAAAAGGGACAACUGUCCUAAACUAGGGGAAGUCAGAGGCCGGCUUCAAACCUAGGUUUGAAGAGGACUAUUCUGAACACCCCGGGAAUCACAUGCCUUGGAGCACCCUUCUCUGGGUACCUACCGGUUGGUGAGGCAGGAGUCAAGUUCAUUCUUUUGACCCCCUGACCUGUGCCCUAGCAAGGGCAAAGGAUUCAAGCUUCCCGUGCUUGGCCUCCUCCCAAAACCUCCCUCACUGGAGUACCAAGCAUUCUUUCCGUCUCUAGUCCAAUAGAGAAGGAAGUUCUCACUCCUCUGACCCAGAAAGCUAGAUCAAGUGAAGAAUCUUUUUUUUUUUUUUUUUUUUUAAACCCUCACACCUAUGCCUUCUCCUUGGCUUCCUUACAAAACAAGCCUUUCAAACAAUCAUUAUCCCUGGGAAAGGUGGUUGGGCUUCCUUCAGCUGAGACUAAGGUUCAAGUCUGCAGAGUAAUGGUGGGCAAGGGGAGGGGGGCGGCUAAUUGCUCCCCAGGAUGGCAGGGAGACAAGAUGCAACUCUUGGCCUCCGGACUCCCACCUGUCCUGCUCCCAGCUGCUCAGAUCCCAGGAAACAGGACAAGGGCAGACUCUCUCAUCACACAAAUGUAGAAUACGGAGAGGUUGGGCCAUGGCAUCGCCAGACCGUGCCCAUGUCACCGCCUCUUGAACAGUUUGCAGGAGAGACAAUAAGCUACUGUGUGAGGAGUGAUGGCAAUUAAAAAGCUGAAAGAGAAGGAGGGCCUCGUGUUCUAACUUCUCUUCCCUGAUGCCCAUCCAAGUCCCUUGCAUCCCUGGCCCCUCCCCAACCUCCUAUGCUCCAGCCCUGACUCUCCACCAUCCCACAGAGAAAUCCCUGUGUUCCCCACCACUCCACAUGGGGCAGGUUUUGUUCCAGCCCCAAGGGCAACAACAUUUCUAAUUGGCCCCCCCUGUCAGGGGCCAAUUACCUCGACAGCAUGCCCCUCCUGGCUCCCUGUCCCUAUGCACUUCUCCAGGCUCCUUUGAGUAGGUGUGCCUUCGCAGCUUCCCUUAGCUAGCCAGAACUGUUCCCUUAACUUUCCCAGGUGCCUCAUCCAGAAUGAGAUCAUGCCUUCAGGGGACAGUUGCUCAGGCAGGUAUGAGGUGUGGGACUUGGGGGAGGAGUACAAGCUGCUCAGCCUUGGGAGACAGCAUUGAAGUGAGGGGGAAGUGAGAGCAUGCCACACUUCAUGCCUUGGUGCUGAAUCCCUGAGGGGCCAGCUUCCCAGGCUCAAGCCAAAUCUGCCUUAAAUCCGGGGGGUAAAAGUAAGGAAGUGGUUUUGCUUUUGGUUUUUGGUUUGUUUUGAUCUUCAUCUUUGUAUUACCAGCAUCUAGCAGAGUGCCUAGCACAUACUGGAUGCUCAAUAAACUUUUGAUGAAAUGAAAUGACAACUUUAUUGUACUUCAGCAAGGAAAACACAACAAGCAGCUUAAAAAUGCCAGGCAUUUCCCUUUUCCCUUUUCUUUUCAUCUUCCUUCAUCAUCCUUCACCCUCUUUGCAAAUUCCAUAUUGUCCACUCCAAAAUCAUCACUCACUCACCCGUUCAUUCAUUCAUGCAUUCAUUGCAAUGCUUUCAUUUAUUCUACAAACACAUGUUAAUAUACCAUGGACUUGGUCCUGUGCAAGACACCGAGGAAACAGUGUGAUUAUGCCAUGACCCCUACCCAGAUGACAGCCCCAUGAAGGAGGACAGAUGAGUAAGCAGGUUAUCACAACACAGUGUGAAAAAUGCCAUGACAGAAGUAGCUACAGUAUGUUCUGAGAGAGCAUGUAAGAGCAUCAUCUAACCUAGAUUAGGGGUUGUCAGCAAAAGUAUCUUGGAGGAGGAGAACAGAUCUGAAUUUAGUCUUAGAUUAGUUAAUCAGGUGAAAAAAAAAAAAGGAUGAAAGGACACCUAUUCCAGGGAACAGGAGCAGCACAUACAGAAACUGAGAAAAUCUGGAUUAUCCAGGAGCAAAUGUUUAUUUUAGCCUCGUAAUGGAAGACUAGACUUGGGCCAGUCGGCAGGAUGGGGGAGCAGAGCCUGAGACUCCUGGAUUGAGUUGGCAUCCUAGAAAGGAGUCCCAAGCUCCCAAAAUAAAAAUGCACAUCCUCUCUGGAGAAAAGCAUCUCCUAAAAUUUUCAAAGAUUAAGAUCAACAACUUGACCAUAAAAGGCCAUUAAGCACAAAAGGAAACAAAUACCAUAAGUGAGAGUCAGAAGACAGAAAUGGUAGAUUUAGACCAGUAAGUCCUUCAAAUAUUAAAACGAUCAGAUAUAGAAUAUAAAAUAACUAUGAAAUGUUUGAAGAAAUGAAAAACAAAAUUAUAGAAAUGAACAAGCAACAAGAGACUGUCAAACUUUGUGACCAAAGUUGAAUAGGAACAAAAUAGAACUUUUGUAAAUAAAAAAUAGGACUUAUUGAAAUAAAAACUGUAAAUGAGAAAAUUAAACAGCACAUUAAGUAGAGCUGAAAAUAGUUAAUUCAAUUGCAAGAUGUAUCUGAAGAAAUGUUUCAGGGUAAAGCACAGACCAACAAGGAGAUGAACAAUAUGAGAAAGAGAGUAAGGGAUAUGGCACGCACAAAGAAAAGAACUAACACAUAUUUUGUCAAGAACUCAAAAGGAAGAAUAGAAAGAUAAAGGAGAGACAAUAUUUUAAGAGUAAUGACUGAAGUUUUUGUAGACCUCGUUAUAAACAUAAAUAUAUGGAUAUAGGAAGGUUAUUAACAGAAGAUAAAUUUUAAAAUUUCCAUACUUAACACAAAAUGUAGUAAAACCAGAGCAUACCAGAGACAAAGAAAAAAUAUUAUGAAAAGCAUCCAGAGAGGGAAAGAUAGAUCUUAUAUGUUUAGACAACAAUAAUAGAAAUCAUUAGAAAGUGGUUCAAAAUUAUGAGCACAAAUAACUAUUAACCCAGAAUAUUUACCUUAAAGAAAUCUCUCAAAUAUGAGGGUAAAAUAAAGAUAUUAUCAGAUGAACAAAACUACAGUUUUUCAUCAACAUGAUAAGAACUCCUAAAAGACACAUUUUGGGAAGGGGGAAAAGCAAGAUUUGAGAUACAAGAGAGAAUAGUGGGUAAAUAGGUUAGCAAAUCUAAAUAGUGUCUGGGAUCCCUGGGUGGCGCAGCGGUUUGGCGCCUGCCUUUGGCCCAGGGCGCGAUCCUGGAGACCCGGGAUCGAAUCCCACGUCGGGCUCCUGGUGCAUGGAGCCUGCUUCUCCCUCUGCCUGUGUCUCUGCCUCUCUCUCUCUCUCUCUCUGUGUGACUAUCAUAAAUAAAUAAAAUUUAAAAAAAAAA
This 3416-nucleotide long non-coding RNA is filed under the name Canis lupus familiaris (dog). RNAcentral describes it as "lncRNA (ENSCAFG00845011614.1)". The record is from RNAcentral. Lineage: Eukaryota; Metazoa; Chordata; Mammalia; Carnivora; Canidae.